ACGUAUUGAGUUUGAACGAGUGUCUAAAAAGUCAGAUCUGUUCUCACAGUCAGAGACUUUCAGGAUCAUUUAAACCUUAAAUUUAAUCUCAUGUAGUCAGGAUUUAAACUCAGGUUCAGUUAUUUCAAUAAAACCAUCCUGAGACAUUUAGAGCAAUCAAAGCGUCGGAGUUGAAGAACACGGAAAUGUCUGCUGUGACUGCGUCGCUCUGCUCGACUUUGCUGUUUGUCGGCCUCUUCGUGUUUGUCUCUGCAGACCAGAAAAACAUCACAGCUGAGUGUGGACAG
This is a long non-coding RNA of Oreochromis niloticus (Nile tilapia), 287 nucleotides long. RefSeq lists it as uncharacterized. The transcript is spliced from 2 exons. The record is from RefSeq and is a predicted model, not a curated record. Lineage: Eukaryota; Metazoa; Chordata; Actinopteri; Cichliformes; Cichlidae.